GAUGAACGCUGGCGGCGUGCCUAAUACAUGCAAGUCGAGCGAACGGACGAGAAGCUUGUUUCUCUGAUGUUAGCGGCGGACGGGUGAGUAACACGUGGAUAACCUACCUAUAAGACUGGGAUAACUUCGGGAAACCGGAGCUAAUACCGGAUAAUAUUCUGAACCGCAUGGUUCAAAAGUGAAAGACGGUCUUGCUGUCACUUAUAGAUGGAUCCGCGCUGCAUUAGCUAGUUGGGAAGGUAACGGCUUACCAAGGCAACGAUGCAUAGCCGACCUGAGAGGGGGGUCGGCGACACGGGAGCUGAGACACGGUCCAGGCUCCUACGGGAGGCAGCAGUAGGGAAUCGGCCGCAAUGGGCGAGAGCCUUACAGAGCGACGCCACGUGAGUGAUGACAGUCUUCGGAUCGUAAAACUCGCUUAUGGGGGAAGAACAUAUGUGUAAGGAACUGUGCACUGCGUGACGGUACCUAGUCAAGAAGCCACGGCUAACUACGUG
Molecule: ribosomal RNA, 497 nt
Filed under: uncultured bacterium
Lineage: Bacteria
Description: partial 16S ribosomal RNA
Rfam family: Bacterial small subunit ribosomal RNA
Source: RNAcentral